RNAcentral lists this ribosomal RNA (290 nucleotides) under marine bacterium SIMO-IS115. RNAcentral's name for it is "partial 16S ribosomal RNA". It matches the Rfam family "Bacterial small subunit ribosomal RNA", at positions 63 to 345 of the family's 1533-position model. The record is from RNAcentral. Lineage: Bacteria; Pseudomonadati; Bacteroidota.
CGAGGGGUAACAGGGGAAAAGCUUGCUUUUUUGCUGACGACCGGCGAACGGCUGCGUAACGCGUAUAGAAUCUGCCUUGUACAGGAGGAUAGCCUUUAGAAAUGAAGAUUAAUACUCCAUAAUGUUGAGAGAUGGCAUCAUCUUUUAAUUAAAGAUUUAUCGGUACAAGAUGACUAUGCGUCCUAUUAGCUAGAUGGUAAGGUAACGGCUUACCAUGGCAACGAUAGGUAGGGGGUCUGAGAGGAUUAUCCCCCACACUGGUACUGAGACACGGACCAGACUCCUACGGG